GGGUCGAUGGCGUAGUUGGUUAUCGCAUCUGUCUAACAUGGGUUUGAUAUUUCGAGUCGAAUGUUCAUUCGAGUCGAAAUAUCAAGGCUGUCACAACACAGAAGGUCCUCAGUUCGAACCUGGGUCGACUCA
This is a non-coding RNA of Lyophyllum atratum, 132 nucleotides long. Lineage: Eukaryota; Fungi; Basidiomycota; Agaricomycetes; Agaricales; Lyophyllaceae. The record is from the annotation of a GenBank genome assembly.